GCUGGCGGCACGCUUAACACAUGCAAGUCGAACGGGAUCUUCGGAUCUAGUGGCAGACGGGUGAGUAACGCGUGGGAACCUGCCCUGUAGUAGAGAACAACUCGAGGAAACUUGAGCUAAUACUUUAUACGCCCUUUGGGGGAAAGCUUUAUGCGCUAUUGGAUGGGCCCGCGUUAGAUUAGUUUGUUGGUGAGGUAACGGCUCACCAAGACAUCGAUCUAUAGCUGGUCUGAGAGGAUGAUCAGCCACACUGGGACUGAGACACGGCCCAGACUCCUACGGGAGGCAGCAGUGGGGAAUAUUGGACAAUGGGGGCAACCCUGAUCCAGCGAUGCCGCGUGAGUGAUGAAGGCCUUAGGGUUGUAAAGCUCUUUCGUUAGGGAAGAUAAUGACGGUACCUAAAGAAGAAGAUCCGGCUAACUCCGUGCCAGCAGCCGCGGUAAUACGGAGGGAUCUAGCGUUAUUCGGAAUUACUGGGCGUAAAGCGAGCGUAGGCGGAUUUGUAAGUUGGAGGUGAAAUCCCAGAGCUUAACUCUGGAACUGCCUUCAAAACUACAUUUCUUGAGUUUGGUAGAGGAGAGUGGAAUUCCUAGUGUAGAGGUGAAAUUCGUAGAUAUUAGGAGGAACACCAGUGGCGAAGGCGACUCUCUGGGCCAAUACUGACGCUGAGGUUCGAAAGCAUGGGUAGCGAACAGGAUUAGAUACCCUGGUAGUCCAUGCAGUAAACGAUGAGUGCUAGAUGUUGGAAACGUUAGUUUUCAGUAUCGCAGUUAACGCGUUAAGCACUCCGCCUGGGAAGUACGGCCGC
RNAcentral lists this ribosomal RNA (808 nucleotides) under uncultured Alphaproteobacteria bacterium. Its description in RNAcentral is "bacterial SSU rRNA". It matches the Rfam family "Bacterial small subunit ribosomal RNA", at positions 35 to 889 of the family's 1533-position model. The record is from RNAcentral. Lineage: Bacteria; Pseudomonadati; Pseudomonadota; Alphaproteobacteria.